Molecule: ribosomal RNA, 404 nt
Filed under: uncultured bacterium
Lineage: Bacteria
Description: partial 16S ribosomal RNA
Rfam family: Bacterial small subunit ribosomal RNA
Source: RNAcentral
GAUGAACGCUGACAGAAUGCUUAACACAUGCAAGUCAACUGUGGCGGACGGGUGAGUAACGCGUAAAGAACUUGCCUCACAGCUAGGGACAACAUUUGGAAACGAAUGCUAAUACCUGAUACUGUGAGAGAGCUUUGCGUCCCAUUAGCUAGGUGGAGAGGUAACGGCUCACCAAGGCGAUGAUGGGUAGCCGGCCUGGGAGGGUGAUCGGCCACAAGGUGACUGAGACACGGCCCUGACUCCUACGGGAGGCAGCAGUGGGGGAUAUUGGACAAGGGACCAAAGUCUGAUCCAGCAAUUCUGUGUGAAAGAUGAAGUUUUCGGAAUGUAAAGUGCUUUCAGUUGGGAAGCGGUACCAACAGAAGAAGUGACGGCUAACUACGUGCCAGCAGCCGCGGUAAUUC